CUCCUACGGGGGGCAGCAGUGGGGAAUAUUGCACAAUGGGGGAAACCCUGAUGCAGUAACGCCGCGUGAGUGAAGAAGUAUUUCGGUAUGUAAAGCUCUAUCAGCAGGGAAGAAGAUGACGGUACCUGAGUAAGAAGCCCCGGCUAACUACGUGCCAGCAGCCGCGGUAAUACGUAGGGGGCAAGCGUUAUCCGGAUUUACUGGGUGUAAAGGGAGCGUAGACGGUGAGACAAGUCUGAAGUGAAAGCCCGGGGCUCAACCCCGGGACUGCUCUGGAAACUGUACGGCUGGAGUGCAGGAGCGGG
RNAcentral lists this ribosomal RNA (305 nucleotides) under uncultured bacterium. Its description in RNAcentral is "bacterial SSU rRNA". It matches the Rfam family "Bacterial small subunit ribosomal RNA", at positions 336 to 658 of the family's 1533-position model. The record is from RNAcentral.